GUUUGUUGUGUUUGAAAAAUCUUGUUUUAAAAACUGGCUAGUUAUUUCAACGCUUCCUGUAGUUUUAGUGCCAUAUUAGUUUGCGUUGCAGCAUACACCGUCCUGCAAAUAUGACCAGAAUUUGAAGGCAGCAUUCUUGUUCUGAAAACAACAGGAUCAAAAUAGCUUAUAUAAUGCAUAUAUCAGAAAGUAUAAUGUGGUUUUUAUCUCUAAACAUAGAAGGUGAUGUUGAUGUAUUUGAGUAUAUUUGAUGUAAGGAGUUUCUGAAUUCUUGGAACUAAGAUAUCAGUGAGGAAAUUUUGUUGAGCAAUGUGACGCUGUUGAUUCAGCCUGUGAUGACCUACAUAGUUUCAGUCUUUCAGACAACCCCUUGUGAGUUAGGAGUUGCAGCUAACCAAAUCAUAGGAGUUGAUCAUAAUAGAUGUGGAAUCUGGACCUUUCAUGCUUUUGCAGUUUUUUCUUAUUAUUAUAUUAUAAAUUGGGUAAUCUAGAUCGGGUGUUUAACUUGUUUCUCAUUAAGAGGAAGAUAUAUAUUUAUUAUCUGAGGCAUACGAGUUCAGAAUUUCAGAUAGCCAUUUUUUCUGAGGUUAGUUUCAAUUCAACCAUUGAUCUUUGUUUCAAGGUGCUGGCCCCACCCAGUGGCAGAGGCAGGAUUUCAAAGCUGGGUAUUCCACGUAUAAAAAAUUUUCAAUGUAUAUGUGCAAUAGUAAUAGGGGACAAAAUCAAUACAAAAUUAAUUCUGGUGCACAACUCAAGUAGUACAUAUAAUUUUCUUAAAAUAUAUGCUAGGUAAAAUAUUUGUUUAUCCUAAAAACAAGACAUCAAGCAAAGUGAGCCUAAUGUCGUCCCUAGUAAUAAUCAAAGUAUAUAUAAAUUCUUUAUCUAUGUUACAAGAACACAAUGCAACAUUUCUUUAAAAAAAUCAGAACACAACAAAAAAAAGAAAAAAAAUAAAACCUUCAAUUCUUACUUUGACGAAUAAAAAAUAGAUGUGAGAUCUUUUGUGUUCACCUUGUUGUUGCUUCAAGCCGUAUAUGAGAAAGGCGUUAAGGGAAAGCCGUAUAUGAGAAAGUCUACAAAGACCACUGAACUGCCACCGCCACCACCACUAGAGGAAUGUCGUCGAUGGGGUUUUUUCUGAUGAGUUCAUGGGCUGCCGCUACUAGUUGUUCUAGGCUUAGAGCAACUUCAAGAGUUUAACUACUAUUGCUGUUUAUGCUAUUUUAGAAUUUGUAUAGAAAAACUAGACCCCAACUAGUAUGCUAUCUAAUUUUGUAAAAUAGGAAGUUGGCUUCCUCUUGAUUUUUGGUGGCUAUAUAUAGCUUAUUGCAGGCCCUAACUGUAAGACUUUGUAAAAUAACAAGAUUGUUGUAGAUCUCUUCUUUUUUUAGAAAUUUUCUAUUCAACAAAAUAGCUAAACAAUAGAAUUUGACAAUUAAUUUUAACCAGACUAUUAGAGUUGCUCUUAUGGGCUACAUAUUUACAACAUUCAACAAACUAACAUAUACGUUGAUUAUACAUGUGUGUAUAUAUAUAUAUAUUUGUGUUUGUCACAAAAAUCAUGGGUAUUUCAUGGAAUACAGGGGCAUACCCCUAGCGCCACCCAUGGCCCCAUCCCAAGUACAGUAUUUAUUUCAUUGGUGUAUAUUUACAGACGUUGCAAGUUUAGGCCUUGUUUAGUUGGCGAAAAUUUUUGGGUUUGGCUACUGUAGCACUUUCAUUUUUAUUUGACAAUUAUUAUCUAAUCAUAGACUAACUAGAUUCAAAAGAUUUGUCUCUUAAAUUACAGGUAAACUGUGCAAUUAGUUAUCUUUUUUUAUCUAUAUUUAAUGCUACAUGCAUAUGCCGCAAGAUUCAACGUGAUCUUUUUUAUCUAUAUUUAAUGCUACAUGCAUCUUGCGGCACAUACACGGAACAUUAAAUAUAGAUAAAAAUAAAAACUAAUUGUACAGUUUGUCUGUAAAUCGCGAGACGAAUCUUUUAAUCCUAAUUACUCCAUAGUUGAACAAUGUUUGUCAAAUAAAAACAAAAAUGCUACAGUAUCAAAAUCUAAAAAAAUCUAAACAAGACCUUAGUUAAUUCUGCAUCGAGACAAACCGGGUCAAAUGCAGGGCACAGGCGAGGCCGACGGAAGGGCAAGGUGUAACACCCCGCAUAUUCACUGCCAAGGUAAAAAUACCGGCUUUAAGGAUUAUUACCUGAUAAAGCAAUACCCCCUCGAAUAAUAACCCUAGUUAAAGUGAUGCAACAGAAUGAUAGUUAGAACCUUACAAAAAUUGUCACAAUUAAUAAAAUAACAAUUACUAACAUUACCUAAAACAAUAUAAUGACAACUCCAUCAUGUUAUACUAGAAAUUAUGUAAGUUGUAUUUCUCAUGUGACUUUUGUAGACCGGCGCUUGGUACAUCGUAUCAUCACAAGUUGUCUCUUUUCAUCUUAAGGGGGAGGGUUAAUAGCAAGAGUGAGUACAAAGUACUCAGCGAGCAUACAAUAAAUCAAAUGAGAUGCAUUCCUAUCCAUUUGUCAUAUCCAUUCUCAUUUAUAGGAUCAUUUGUGAAAAAGUUGCAUAUUUUAGGAAAAUAAGUUAAGAAAUCUAUUAUCACCUAUAUAGUGAGACAGGACCUCCUAUAGCCCCCUAGCCUCUACUCAAGAGACAUAACGUGAAUUCACGGUUUUAACCCUGCGCAGGUUUGUUUCGCUUUACCCAUGAUUAUCUUGACCAAUUUUCCAUCACACUUCCUUAGGUAUGACUCAUGGUCAAGAUACCGUGACUUUCUCCACUUCCGUAUAUUAUAUACAUCUAUAUCUAUUCAUGUGCGCUAAUAUAUACGCUUGGGUGUACUUUAUCGACACCUGAUUGGGGAUUUCAUCACCCAACCCUCUCCUCACUUACCAUAGAGAGUAUAUAACAACAUUCAUGGGUACCGGACUCGGCCCGUCCCAAACGAGUUCACUUGCCGACACGACUCCAUACGGCCCACAUAAUGAGAAGGGUGAGUCCUUAUAUAUUUAUAGUCGAUAUAGAGAGAGCUUGACCGACCCUAAUUCAUCAUCACAUUCCAUGAGCUCUCUCUAUACCGAAUACUUAUUUAUCAUCCAGUAAUCAUUAUACAUCAUAAUCAUCAUGUCUAGUUUAAUUUAGAAAAUAUAUAUUUUUUAUGCAAGUAUCUUGAAAAUAAGUUCGUUUUUAUAAAAGAAAAUCAAUGUAUCAUCUACAUGACUUGCCUGUCCUUUAAAAUGUCACUCCACAUCGUCAAUAAACUUUGAAUGUCCUUCAACGUUUCAGCUGGCUUCCUGUAAUUAUAAUACCUAUUUUUAAUAAAUUGGAAAUUAACAAAAUGAGAGAAUACACACAAAUUUAUAAAUUGUGUGUACGUAGCAGUGUGUCUCCUUCUACAGUCAAGAUAUUUCAUUAGUCUCAAAUUUCAGCUUUACUACGAUUGGUAGGAAAUAUACUGGUUCCUAUGAAUUUAGUCGGUCACUAAGUUAAUUAAUAUUCUUAAUUUUUUUUCCUUUGCUUAUCUAACGUGAGCUAACCAUUAGAAACAAAAAAGAUAAAAAGGCCUUGUUUAGUUCAUCCUGAAAACCAAAAAGUUUUCAAGAUUUCCCGUCACAUCGAAUCUUGUGGCAUAUGCAUGAAACAUUAAAUAUAGACGAAAACAAAAACAAAUUACACAGUUUAGCUGUAAAUCAUAAGACAAAUCUUUUGAUCCUAGUUAGUCCAUGAUUGGAUAAUAUUUGUCACAAACAAAGGAAAGUGCUACAGUACCGAAAACUUUUCACUUUUCGGAACUAAACAAGGCCUAGCACGAUUGGAACACUGAAAUAGUAGCAAGUCAACAGACCAACACAGCAACACACGCACAGCCUCCUCUCUCUCUCUCUGCCUCUCAUCCAUGGCUCUCCUCUGUUCUUCACGCUGCAGCAACCCCGCUGCCCAAAUCCACUACCAGUACCAUGGAAGAAGAAUCUCACCUCUAAUCACUUCCAUCUAUUCUCUCCAUUGCCAUGGUGCUAUACCUGUCAUUUCCCCCUUCAUUUCGGACUCUUUGAGUCCUCUAUUUUGGGAUCUAGCUCUGCUGCUCGCUGUGGGAAUAAGCAUCGCCUGGUGGUGACCCAUGGCUAAUACCCCAAAUCAAGUCCCCAAAAGUUGUAGUUGCUAUCUAUCUAUUUCUCCCCUUCGAUUUUUUCUCUCUAAUGUGUGUAGGUUGGGGGGCCGGCGGCGACCUGCUCCAUCACGGUGCCGUGCUUGGCGGCCGUGAUGCCCAGGACAGGGCCAAGAAGACCCGUGUGUGCAGCACAAUGACUCCAAAGUCCGGCGACAACCUCCACAACCUGACAGUGAGUGCUCCUACUCUUGCAUCCUCAAACUCAGUUCAUCUGGUCAGUCUACAUCUAGAUGUGAAAGUUUCUUUUAUAAAAAUUUUAGCCCAGAUUCAACUAUUUAUGUGUAUAUUUGCAUAAAAAGAGAGAAUACUAGUUCAUGUUCUGAUUACAGCUAGCACACAAUUUGCCUUGGCCAGAACAUAUCACCUAGUAUUUGUUAGCUAUGCUCUACUAGUACAGUCAAAAUAUCUAUCUUCAUGGUAGGUGUAUUGUGCUCUUAGUGGAGGAGGAAAAAGUUUCUAUAGAUGUGCACGUGAAAAUAAACCUCACCUUAAUCCUGGUGAUGUUUAGCUUCAGUCUCCUACGCUUCCUCAACAAGUACUCUUUCUCCUUGCAGGUCUUAACUACUGAAAGGUUCCUUCUUCAAGAUGUGGUUGAUCCCCACCUGGCUACUUGUCUUGACUCUCUCCAUGGUCUCUUAUUGC
This 4811-nucleotide long non-coding RNA is filed under the name Sorghum bicolor (sorghum). RNAcentral's name for it is "long non-coding RNA (SBIC_LNC007782)". Lineage: Eukaryota; Viridiplantae; Streptophyta; Magnoliopsida; Poales; Poaceae. The record is from RNAcentral.